This is a long non-coding RNA of Triticum aestivum (bread wheat), 1834 nucleotides long. RefSeq lists it as uncharacterized. Lineage: Eukaryota; Viridiplantae; Streptophyta; Magnoliopsida; Poales; Poaceae. The transcript has 3 exons. The record is from RefSeq and is a predicted model, not a curated record.
GUCACCUACCUUCCCACCGCCCCUCACAUUUCUCCCCGUCGUUCCCCAUUCUUCCUUGGUCGCCAGCUCCCUCUCUCCACCCCACCCCUCCCCUUCGUCCCCACCGCCAGCAAGAAGUUCGCAUCCCCUUUUCAUCGAAUCCGGUCGCCCAAGUGGGCGAGGAGGUCCCCCAGCUCGGCAUGCUCGCGAGCAUCCCAGCGUUAGGCUCCGUCCGAUGCGCGAGACUUCCACGCCCCUGCUCUUCCAAGCCAUUCUUCGAAUCCGUUUGCCGAAGUGCCCAAGGAGGCGCUCGAGCUCGGCGUAUUCACGGGCGACCCAGCGCGAGGCGGGCGCGGAGGCCCGCAACAAGCUAACAAGGAGCGGGCGUGGGUGCACAAGAAUAUCUGGGCACAGUUCGAUGCCUCCACUGGUGUGCCUCUGUGUGAUGUGCUAUUCAAAAUCCCUCUACAUAUUUCCCCCUUCUUAAAUUGUGUUAUUCAAGAUACAAUGGCACUCGAUAAUACUUGCUAAGAAGGUCUGCAAUAUGAACUAGACUGUUGCUUGCCAGAUGACUGGAAGAUGGGUACUUCAUCCUCUCUUUUUUUGUCAAGCAAGAUAAAUAAGGUUCAUGCAUUGUAAUGAAAACUGCAGAUUUAGCUAAACUCAACUGAUGGUGUAAUAUAUCUUCCUAUGAGCAGCAAUAAUGAUAUAUUCUUAGGAGUAAUAAGGCGUCGCUGCAUAAAUAUACUUGACUUUCAAAUGAGUGUGUCAAGAGGUUUAAUUAGCGUCGAUCCCUACUCUAAUUAUAGCUGGAUAUCUCACUCCUGUACUAUUUGAAACUUAUCAAUUAGAUCUUCAGAAUAACAGAAAUUUGCUAGAUAAGCUAACGUUAGAAGGGGAAGUAAACAUUAAACAUUUCAGAUAGUGAAGGUGAAUAUCUGAUAUGUCAUCAUUGUGUGUUUCCUGCUGUAGAUAAAUUUGCUUGCAGGGCUCUUGAUGAUAUAUCCACUUUCAUCAAAUGCGUAAGGGUAUGGUCACUUGGAGAAGACAUAGCUAUGACUACAAAGAUCUGUUUUUCCAGGUAUGCAUUGUACAAGAUGGAUUUCCUCUUAACCGAUUGGAAGCAUACCGCAACAUGGAUGCACACAAGGGCUAGCCUAAGCAUGCAGGUAGAUGGAUUAUAGACGUCUUGUUAAUGCUGGUGCAAGGAUGCAAUAUCCAUGAACGAGCGCAACGUCGGUGGAUCUGUAUGUUAGAGUUCAGAAUUUUGAAAGAAAGGGGAUAUGGGAAACAAGAAGAGGGGAGCUCUACCUUGGCUAGGAUCCAUGACGGCGAGGUAGCACCGCCGACUGUUGGGACCAGGUGUUGGGCGUCUGUUGGGCGUUGCCGCCGCCGGUGUCGUGGGCAGGCGGCUUGGGGUGCUCGACAGCAUAGGUGGCCUCGAUGGCCUGGAACUCAACCUCGCUCGUCCGCGACAUCCCAGUAGAAUUCGUCGGCGUCAUGGGCGGCGCAGCCACCGAAGCUAGGGCUGGGCGACGUAUGGAGGUGCGGCGGCGUUGAGCGAGAAAAAAAAUCAUGAUGCCGAUCGAUCUGAAGGGCAGAGCGUGUGCGGGGCAGACGUGGGUCAAGGGCUGAAUGUGUGCGGGGCAGACGUGGGUGGCAGAACAUUGAAUCUGAGCCAACCAAUCGGAUGGCAGACCGCUGAAUUAAUCUGUGAUGUUAGAUUUUAUUAGAUGUAAUUGAUCGUGGGGUGCAGGUUAUCCUAUGUACAUUUUAUGAUGUGGUUGUAGGGGAAUUCAUGUUUGCUCUUUUAAUAGUAGUGUAGAUGUAGAAGUGUUUUUUUUUGAAACAGGGG